Dromiciops gliroides (monito del monte) is the source of this 3190-nucleotide RNA transcript. It is a transcript of the gene named homologous recombination factor with OB-fold, with no coding region annotated. The record is from RefSeq and is a predicted model, not a curated record. NCBI's taxonomy places the organism in Eukaryota, Metazoa, Chordata, Mammalia, Microbiotheria, Microbiotheriidae. The transcript has 11 exons.
UUACUUCCCGUCACCCGCCGCGCCAGGCCUUGGCCCAGGCCUGAGCCCGAAUCCAUGGCGGAGCAUGAAAGGGAGCCCACCCACCUUCGCCAUGGCUUGUAGUUUGCAGAACCUAUUUGCCGUGGAAGAUGAAUUUGAAGAUGAGGAUUUCUUGUCGGCUGUAGUGGACACUGAAAACAAGUUCUCCAGUUCACUCUCUGUAAAUCCAGGAUGCCUGAAACCUGUGUGUUCCAAGCCCGAAGCUGCCAAGCAGGCCCGGACAUCUGGGCAGCUGACUUUGUGCCCCACUCUUCCUGCAGGGGCUUCGAGCCUGUCAGCCCAGGGGUCCAGACUGCCUAUCCCUGGUGUGCCCAGGGCAGGAGGGGGUUCUCCUUCUAAGACAUCAACAUUCCUAAGACUGUCCCCUUCUCCCAGCUUAGCUGGGGGAGCUAGAGAUCUAGACAGAGUGACCCCCGAAGGAUUAACCACAGAACCUCAUGCACCAUUUUCUGUUGUGAACCCACACCCAGUGGCUGGUACCACUGUGACAAGUAAACAGGAUGUGUUCAAUAAUUCAUGCAUGGAGCUGAGGCAGAGAAGUUCAAGUGGACCUAUGAAAAGCCUGUUUCCCAGGCAGAAGGAGGACCCCAUGCAAGUCAAAAGGCCCCGGAUAUCUGAGUUGGGAGAAUCUUGUUGCCAAGGGUCAGUAGUCACCAGACUGGCUGAGCCCCUACUCUCGCAUCCCACCUCCCACCAUGGGACCCCACAGCUCAUUAUGAGACCCGGUGCUUCCAGCAGCCUUAUUCUCCCAUCUGGUUUACGAACUCCUACUCAAUCUACUCCCCGGCAAGCUGGGCCUAGGGGCAAUCAUCUCCAUGUGCCUCAGCCUCUCCAAGUUGCUAAAUGUUAUGCUCAGAACAAGUCUCAAAAUAGUUCCCUAACCCCUCCACCAUUCCAAUCUCCAGGCUCCUGGGAAAGUGGAAGACCUAGAGUUGUAGGGCUAGCUGUUCCCAAUCCAAACUCGUCUGUUUUUCCAGUGGCUAGGUCUGGCCAGAGACCCUUAGAAUCCCGAGUUCAGGUCUCUUCUGUUGAAUCUCUUGUCUCUACUCCAUCCACCCCCUGUACUUCCCUGGCAUCCUCGGGGAUUCUUCAGACCCCUAUCGUCACAAACCACCUUGUACAGCUAGUUACUGCUACCAGUCGGACACCUGGAACGCCUGCCCAUGUGUCCACACGAGCCAAAACACGCCGCUUUCCUGGACCAGCUGGGAUCUUGCCUCACCAGCACAGUGGAAAAAAUCUGGAGGAGAUCAUGAUUUCAACUCCUCAGACUCCAACUCAUGGUGCACUAGCUAAGUUCCGGACAGAGGAAGUACCUAGUUCUCAGCCCUCAGAAGAAGAUUUUGAGCAUGGCCCCUGGGUGACUAUGAAAGCUGACCUGGGACUAGAUGACCAAGACCCUGCCUGCUUCCUCCACACAUACAGUAUCGUCAUGGUAUUGCGGAAGGCUGCCCUGAAGCAACUUCCCAGGAACAAAGUGCCCACCAUGGCAGUGAUGAUCAAAUCCCUGAGCCGAAGUACAGUAGAUGCCAGUGUGGUGUUCAGAGAUCCUACAGGGGACAUGAGUCCAGGAAGAGGGUCAGUGGAUGGGAGGAACCUGAUGAGCCUACUCACAUGGAGAGAUGCAAGGUACAGUGCACCGGCUGCUGUUGGAAGAGAAACAGAACGAGCUGAAGACUGGCUCUGUCCUGCUGCUGAAGCAGAUUGGAGUGUUCUCACCAUCACUCCGAAAUCACUACCUCAAUGUGACACCCAACAACCUGGUCCAGAUUUACAGCCCAGAUUCAGGAGAUGGGAGAGUCCCCAGGAGCUCUCAGCCCUUUGCCCAGAUUCCCGGACCUGUCCUGUCAGAAUCUCCAUCUCAGCCUCCUGCUCCUGAGAGCUCCUGUAGUGCUCUUCACUGUAAUGGGAAACCAGGAGAGAAGCACAGGACGGCCAGAGGGGAGGCAGCUUCCAGAGAAGAGCUUCCUGAAGCAGAUGAUCUGGAUGGGCUUCUAGAGGAGCUGUCCGAAGACUUCUUCUCUGAGGACAGCGGCUGGUGAGGCAGGACCACGAGGAGCUGGCAUUGGCUUGUUUGUGGCAAGUCAAGCAUGGACAUGUCUAGCCUGGUGAAUGAGUGGAUGAAGGCAAGGCUGUGUUCUUGCCUUAGCAGAUAGAACCUUGUGAGCUUGUCAGCUGCCCCUCCACUGCCUGUUUCCUAGAGAGCUUUCUUCAUCUUCCAGGUCAGAGCAUCUUCUUCUUAACAGUUUCUAUCCCUGGAGACAAUGGGGGUCUGACCUUGAAAACAACCUAGCCACAGAAAGCGUCUGUUUUGAUCACAGACGGUUUUCCUAGUCCUCUUAUCACUUUGGUCUCCAUUCUGUGGAUAGUUGGAGAGACAGGAGCAAAUAGGGACAUGAUGCCCCUGAAUGUGGGCUUAGAAGACUAUUUGCCUCUAUCACUUCUCCACUUGGUGUUAAAUUAUCAGUUCGUUUUCCCCUCAGAACCAUGUCUUCUGCUACUCUCAUCCUGCCCCUGAAAAACUACUUCACUUAAGCGUGAGUUACUUAUUUUCCCCUAAAACAACAUCACUUGUGCAGGAGGCUUCUAGGGUUAGGGUCAGGGAAUUAGAGUAUUGUGUGCUAUAUUAUGAAACAAAGUAUGGUGACUCUCCUUGGACUCCAGGCUAUGCUAUUCUCCUGCCAAAUUCUCUUGUGACUUCAGCUCCCUUAGCUUCUUCAGUACAUCCUUGUGUGUUGCACCCAUCAUGAUCCUGGGAGCCAUAAUGUUGUGAGGGAGAGCCGGCCUUCCCAGUGAUUUCAGUGGUUUCCUCCCAAAUCAGGGACUGGUCAAGGAGAAGGAUGGGUCACAGUUCUUUAUAUUUGUCCCAUUCCCAAAAUGUCUCAGAGUUAAUGCAGUUGAGGAAAAUAGAAUUGGCCUAACACCUGCUGCUCGUUGCCAGGAAAGGAGAGGAUCUAAAGGCCGUCUGGGGCUAGGUUUGGGUGACCAACUUGCCCUCAGGGACCACCUCAUUCAGGCCUGGUGCCUCUCUCUAAAACUUCAUCUCCCCUUUUCUAAAAUGCAUCUCCAUUGGGAGAUUAAAGAGAAAAAAGAAAAAGCUAUAGGGGGUGGAGGAGGCAGUCAGUCAUUCAAUAAGCAUUUCUGAAGUUCC